UGGCCAAGUUAGUCCCCUGUUAAAUCCACCGAAUUAAUCGUUGGAGUGCGGGGGAUACUGCUCGGCUAGGGGGCGAGAGAGGCCGACGGUAUUUUCGGGGUAGGGGUGAAAUCCUAUAAUCCCGGGAAGACCACCAGUGGCGAAGGCUGUCGGCUAGAACGCCCCCGACGGUGAGGGAUGAAAGCUGGGGGAGCGAACCGGAUUAGAUACCCGGGUAGUCCCAGCUGUAAACGAUGCAGGCUAGGUGUUUGGGCGGCCACGGGCCGCUCUAGUGCCGCAGGGAAGCUGUUAAGCCUGCCGCCUGGGGA
Molecule: ribosomal RNA, 308 nt
Filed under: uncultured archaeon
Lineage: Archaea
Description: bacterial SSU rRNA
Rfam family: Archaeal small subunit ribosomal RNA
Source: RNAcentral